This 408-nucleotide ribosomal RNA is filed under the name uncultured bacterium. RNAcentral's name for it is "partial 16S ribosomal RNA". It matches the Rfam family "Bacterial small subunit ribosomal RNA", at positions 28 to 526 of the family's 1533-position model. The record is from RNAcentral.
GACGAACGCUGGCGGCGUGCUUAACACAUGCAAGUCGAACGAAGUGGCGAACGGGUGAGUAACGCGUAAUCAACCUGCCCUUCAGAGGGGGACAACAGUUGGAAACGACUGCAAAAACCGAAUACUGAGGGGGGGGAUGGCGUGUGAUUAGCUAGUUGGAGGGGUAACGGCCCACAAAGGCGAUGAUCAGUAGCCGGUCUGAGAGGAUGAACGGCCACAUUGGGACUGAGACACGGCCCAGACUCCUACGGGAGGCAGCAGUGGGGAAUCUUCCGCAAUGGACGAAAGUCUGACGGAGCAACGCCGCGUGAGUGAUGACGGCCUUCGGGUUGUAAAGCUCUGUUAAUCGGGACGCGGUACCGGAAUAGAAAGCCACGGCUAACUACGUGCCAGCAGCCGCGGUAAUUC